Long non-coding RNA from Felis catus (domestic cat), 1506 nucleotides. RefSeq lists it as uncharacterized. Lineage: Eukaryota; Metazoa; Chordata; Mammalia; Carnivora; Felidae. The record is from RefSeq and is a predicted model, not a curated record. The transcript is spliced from 8 exons.
GCUGCCUCCGUGCAGGUAGGGGACUGAGCUCGAGCUAGCUCAAAUAAAGGCUCUUUUGCUUUUGCAUCCGACUCGGCUCCCUGGUGGUCUUUGGGGAUCACGAAUUCUGGGCAUAACAACCCGUCAUCAGAAGGUCCAUUGCAGCGCCACUCUCUGUCACAAUGCCUACGUCGCUCGCUCCACUUCAUCUCGUGAUGUAGCCAUUUGAUCGUCUCACAUCAUCGCGAGAAGACGAAGGUUACCCUCGGUCAGCUGUGGUCCGGAAGCAGAUGAUCGUCCCUCUGACACGUCCCCGGAAGGUCAAUUAUAGCAGCCUAAUGCUACGUCGCGGUGCCUACGUCACUCACCUCACUUCGCCUCAUCCCCUGGGCAUUUUGCCAUCUCACGUCAUCACAGGAAGAAGGCUGGUGCCGGCACGCUAGGCAGACCUAUCUGCGAUCCAGGUUCAAAAUGUUCCCAUCAGUCAGCUGGAUAUAGCAAAGUGCCCAGGAGGCCAUCCGCGUUUGGAGAUUGAAGAGGUAAUGGGCAGGAGCACAUCUUCUGGGAAUAUAAGCUACCUAUUCAUGCAAUUCAUUUGUGUCUACAAGACCUGCUUGGUUCGGGCUAACGUGUGAAGAAUGGAUUAGAAGAAGUCGAGAAUGUAACAAGGUGGGACCACCCCGGAGAACAGCGUCCAGGAGGAUGAGCAGGGCUCUGGAGAAGAACAUGGGGUAGAUGCACUGGCAUGGAAGAAUAUACAUUCAGAUAAAUGGAAUAGAAUGGGACGGAGGGAUACAAGGUAAAGAAGAGGAAUUGACUGGUGGAGCAAGCACUUGGUGGAGUCCAAAGGGGAUGCGCUCUAGUUCAAGACAGCCAGCACAGGAAGUGGAUCUCGGGGACGAGAACGGAUUAUUCAAAGACAGCGAGGCAUGACCACGUGUGGUGUUUGGAAGGCUUCAAGAAGGUAGACGCGGCUGAAGUACAGUGAGGAGAGAGACUCAACCGGGGAGCAGAUAAGGAAGGCCCCGGCCAGCUGCGGUAAGAAAUUUGGGCUUUUCCUGGAUUGGAGGAACGAGGCAGUUGAGAGGAAGCUGGAUUUCGGAAGAAGAGUCGGCAAAUAUACUUAAUGAACACUCUAAAAUACAUUAUUGAAACUUACCUGGCCUGGACAGAUCCUGACUCCUGUUGCCAUCAGGAAUCUGGUGAUCCCGGUGAGUAAAAUAAAGUAAGCAACUCCCUUUCCGGAAGGCACUUUCACGAGGCCAUGCUCUGCCUGAGCGGGUCCCAUGUUGUCAAUAUAGACCUCACGAGAGCUAGAUAAUUCUGUGUGUUGUGACCCAAAUCAUGACUGACUGUGUUAAAAGGCAAAUGUGCAAAUAAUGAAAAAAAUUCUGAACAUAAUACAAUUGCUCAGACGAACUGAGAAAAUGUAGCAUUACAAAAAUUAAAGGAAAGGGGGUGCCUGGGUGGCUCGGUUGGUUAAGCGUCCAUCCGACUCUUGGUUUCGGCUCAGGAUACGAUCUCGUG